UGUUCUGCUAUUUCAAUAACAUGUUUUAUUAACCCUCCAUGGGUCAGCUGCUGCAUGAUGGGAGGACGGCGUGCUGCACCCCGCCGUUCAGCAGAGAAGUGAACGGACCAGAUUCCUGACGUACAGAACAGGACUGUGACACAGGCCGCAGUAUUAGCCUGUAAUAUGAAGCAUUCCACUCCACAUUAAUCACUUUCUUCAGCGUCAAAGACAACGCUCACGCAGGAAUCCAUCACUGCUUCUCAUUCAGAGGAACGUUUUUCACGUUUUACUCAUUCAUGUUUAAACACAAACAGCAACAAGAAACAACUAAAAAUAUCAACAAAUAUUUGCUCCUUAUUACAUGUAAAUGUCAUCCAUGUCAUUAAGAUGAAACGAUCAAAUUAAAUGUUUUUGCUCAUCAUUUUAAUGAACUGCAAUUUAUGGGGUGUUGUUCUGUUCUUUGAGCUAAAUAAAUAUAAGCAUAAAAAAACAUAAAUAAAUAUUGAUGAUGCUGAAGGGUGUGUCUGCUUGUUGUGAUGCUUUGACAAUGGAGGCAGCAAGUGUUUGACGCUAUAGCACAGCAACACACCCAGAACUGAGGUCACCUGAGCAGCAUAAAAGCAGAGGAGCUGCUCAGCAGCAGCAUCAAACCCCGGAGAACUCACCUGUACAUCAGGAUGAAGCUGAUCUUCUCUCUGUGUCUCAUCUAUGCGCUCUGCAGCUCAGCUGCUGCUCUUCAGUGUGACGCCUGUGCAGAUCAGACAUGUUCAACCACAGUCAGUAAGACGUGCAGCUCAGAGACCAUGUGUAUUACAGCUUCCAUCAGAGCCACUUCAUCUCAAGGUUCAGGAGCAUUAAUCUACAAGGACUGUGCUGCUGCUUCUCUUUGUCCAACCACUGGAGCUGCAACCUUUUCCGCCGCCUUGACUUUUUCCAGUGCGAUUGCAUCAGCUCAGUGCUGCAACACGGCCAACUGCAACUCCCAGACCCUGACAUGUACGGACAC
Oryzias melastigma (Indian medaka) is the source of this 988-nucleotide long non-coding RNA. RefSeq lists it as uncharacterized. Lineage: Eukaryota; Metazoa; Chordata; Actinopteri; Beloniformes; Adrianichthyidae. The transcript is spliced from 3 exons. The record is from RefSeq and is a predicted model, not a curated record.